GAUGAACGCUAGCGGCAGGCUUAACACAUGCAAGUCGAGGGGUAUGCCGAUUUAUCGGCAGAGACCGGCGCACGGGUGCGUAACGCGUAUGCAAUCUACCUUUCACAGAGGGAUAGCCCAGAGAAAUUUGGAUUAAUACCUCAUAGUAUAGCAAUUUCGCAUGAAACCACUAUUAAAGUUCCAACGGUGAAAGAUGAGCAUGCGUCCCAUUAGCUAGAUGGUAAGGUAACGGCUUACCAUGGCUACGAUGGGUAGGGGUCCUGAGAGGGAGAUCCCCACACUGGUACUGAGACACGGACCAGACUCCUACGGGAGGCAGCAGUGAGGAAUAUUGGUC
This 337-nucleotide ribosomal RNA is filed under the name uncultured bacterium. RNAcentral describes it as "bacterial SSU rRNA". It matches the Rfam family "Bacterial small subunit ribosomal RNA", at positions 28 to 369 of the family's 1533-position model. The record is from RNAcentral.